UACGGGGGGGGCAAGCGUUGUUCGGAAUUAUUGGGCGUAAAGGGCGCGUAGGCGGCUUUGCAAGUCAAAGGUGAAAUCCCUCGGCUCAACUGAGGAACUGCCUUUGAAACUGUGAGGCUUGAGUCCGGGAGGGGGUAGCGGAAUUCCCAGUGUAGCGGUGAAAUGCGUAGAUAUUGGGAGGAACACCAGUGGCGAAGGCGGCUACCUGGACCGGAACUGACGCUGAUGCGCGAAAGCGUGGGUAGCAAACAGG
This 253-nucleotide ribosomal RNA is filed under the name uncultured bacterium. Its description in RNAcentral is "partial 16S ribosomal RNA". It matches the Rfam family "Bacterial small subunit ribosomal RNA", at positions 524 to 776 of the family's 1533-position model. The record is from RNAcentral.